RNAcentral lists this ribosomal RNA (444 nucleotides) under uncultured bacterium. RNAcentral describes it as "partial 16S ribosomal RNA". It matches the Rfam family "Bacterial small subunit ribosomal RNA", at positions 331 to 792 of the family's 1533-position model. The record is from RNAcentral.
CCAGACUCCUACGGGAGGCAGCAGUGGGGAAUAUUGCACAAUGGGGGAAACCCUGAUGCAGCGACGCCGCGUGAAGGAAGAAGUAUUUCGGUAUGUAAACUUCUAUCAGCAGGGAAGAAAAUGACGGUACCUGACUAAGAAGCCCCGGCUAACUACGUGCCAGCAGCCGCGGUAAUACGUAGGGGGCAAGCGUUAUCCGGAUUUACUGGGUGUAAAGGGAGCGUAGGCGGUUUAGCAAGUCAGAAGUGAAAGCCCGGGGCUCAACUCCGGGACUGCUCUUGGAACUGCGCGGCUGGAGUGCAGGAGGGGCAGGCGGAAUUCCUGGUGUAGCGGUGAAAUGCGUAGAUAUCAGGAGGAACACCGGUGGCGAAGGCGGCCUGCUGGACUGCGACUGACGUUGAGGCCCGAAAGCGUGGGGAGCAAACAGGAUUAGAUACCCGUGUA